RNAcentral lists this long non-coding RNA (296 nucleotides) under Lathyrus oleraceus (garden pea). RNAcentral's name for it is "Pisum sativum (pea) long non-coding RNA (PSAT_LNC030483)". Lineage: Eukaryota; Viridiplantae; Streptophyta; Magnoliopsida; Fabales; Fabaceae. The record is from RNAcentral.
UUUAUUUUAGUUUACUAUUUUAUUUUAUUUUGUUUUGUUUUAUUUUAUUUUGUUUAACUUUAUUUUGUUUUAUUUUAUUUCGUUUUAUUUUGUUUUAUCAAGCUUAAAUCAAAAACAAAAAACAAUAUUCAUGGAUACAUAUAUGCACCCCCGCCCUUUUUACAAAAAAAUGAAGACAAAAGGACAAAAGCCCAAGUAGCAAUGAGCAUAGUCGACCCAACCGAAUCCGAAGACAUGGCGGGCGCCAUAGGCUUCAUGGCGGGCGCCAUGACGUAACAGGCAGAUUUCCCCUUUUC